This 305-nucleotide ribosomal RNA is filed under the name uncultured bacterium. RNAcentral describes it as "bacterial SSU rRNA". It matches the Rfam family "Bacterial small subunit ribosomal RNA", at positions 337 to 639 of the family's 1533-position model. The record is from RNAcentral.
ACCUACGGGGGGCAGCAGUGAGGAAUAUUGGUCAAUGGGAGAGAUCCUGAACCAGCCAAGCCGCGUGAGGGAAGACGGCCCUAUGGGUUGUAAACCUCUUUUGUCGGAGAACAAAACCCGGGACGUGUCCCGGACUGCGUGUAUCCGAAGAAAAAGCAUCGGCUAACUCCGUGCCAGCAGCCGCGGUAAUACGGAGGAUGCGAGCGUUAUCCGGAUUUAUUGGGUUUAAAGGGUGCGUAGGUGGUUAAUUAAGUCAGCGGUGAAGGUUUGUGGCUCAACAAUAAAAUUGCCGUUGAAAGUGGUUG